This 132-nucleotide ribosomal RNA is filed under the name Klebsiella quasipneumoniae. RNAcentral's name for it is "partial 23S rRNA. Bacterial LSU". It matches the Rfam family "Bacterial large subunit ribosomal RNA", at positions 2800 to 2925 of the family's 2925-position model. Lineage: Bacteria; Pseudomonadati; Pseudomonadota; Gammaproteobacteria; Enterobacterales; Enterobacteriaceae. The record is from RNAcentral.
CGAGAUGAGUUCUCCCUGAGACUUUAAGUCUCCUGAAGGAACGUUGAAGACGACGACGUUGAUAGGCCGGGUGUGUAAGCGCAGCGAUGCGUUGAGCUAACCGGUACUAAUGAACCGUGAGGCUUAACCUUA